Biomphalaria glabrata is the source of this 566-nucleotide long non-coding RNA. RefSeq lists it as uncharacterized. The transcript is spliced from 3 exons. NCBI's taxonomy places the organism in Eukaryota, Metazoa, Mollusca, Gastropoda, Planorbidae. The record is from RefSeq and is a predicted model, not a curated record.
UGAUUAACAUUUUCUUUUUGCGUUAUUGACAAACCUCUUCAUUAUUUCUCCGUCUAUGUACAAUUAUAGUGUAAUUAUGUAAAGGAACAUUUUUUCGUUUUCAUUACAUAAAGAUAACUUUGUUUUUAAGUGCACGAUUAUUUUUAUUCUAAAGUAAACAGGACACUUCUUGGUUGUUUUUGUUUCUGUAUCAUCACCACUUAGAUCUAGAGAUUCUUGUUGUGCUUACAGAUGAACACUGCUGUUUGCUUCUUGCUGCUAAGCUGCAUGUGCGUAGCUGUUAAAGCAGCCCCGACAUGUACAUUUCGUCAUAGGGCUUAUAACAUUGGCGAGGCUCUCCCUGUGGUCAACAACAUAUCGUGUACAUGUGUGGCGUACAAUUCUGGAGCCAGAACUCAUUGUGAUUAUUCCAAGUUUGAUGGGAAACACAGCGCUGAUUUCCCUGGCAAAUAAAAGACAAGAAAUAGAAAACCAAAGCAAGCAACAACUGACCCGUCAUUAGAAGAAAAAGAUGUUAUUAUUGAGAUAAUCAUCAAGGAGCUAAUAAAGAAAUUUGACGAACACAA